Macaca mulatta (Rhesus monkey) is the source of this 391-nucleotide long non-coding RNA. RefSeq lists it as uncharacterized. Lineage: Eukaryota; Metazoa; Chordata; Mammalia; Primates; Cercopithecidae. The record is from RefSeq and is a predicted model, not a curated record.
CAGUGCACAGAGUGCAGGGCAAGUGGGGCCAGGCUGGCGGGGAGUGAGCCUGUCUGGCUACCUUGCCUCGGAGCCACUACACUGCUCGCUGCAGACACAGACUGCACCAUGAAGCCAGCCCUCCUGCCCUGGGCCCUGCUGCUGCUGGCGACAGCCCCCGACCUGGGCCUGGACCCGCAGCAGUGGCUGCAAGAGGAAGAGGACGUGAAUGGGACGUGGAAACAUCUUUCAAAAGCGAAGAUAAUUUCUCCGUUGAACAACCUUUGCCCUUUUUUCUUUCAGGUUAUCUGAGUUCACUGGGGUGGUGCUUGUGUAUAUGUCCUAGGUAUCUUUUGACAUCUUUCUCUUUAGAUCAGAGGAAAUGUGAAGCUAAAUAAAUCUGGGGGUUUUU